RNAcentral lists this non-coding RNA (78 nucleotides) under Aurantimonas sp. 22II-16-19i. RNAcentral's name for it is "Alpha-proteobacteria SAM riboswitch aptamer". It matches the Rfam family "Alpha-proteobacteria SAM riboswitch aptamer". Rfam says of the family: This family is a riboswitch found predominantly in alpha-proteobacteria that binds S-adenosyl methionine (SAM). This SAM riboswitch is located upstream of the metA and metC genes in Agrobacterium tumefaciens, and other methionine and SAM biosynthesis genes in other alpha-proteobacteria. RNAcentral also lists the same sequence under 1 other name. The record is from Rfam by way of RNAcentral. Lineage: Bacteria; Pseudomonadati; Pseudomonadota; Alphaproteobacteria; Hyphomicrobiales; Aurantimonadaceae.
CAAAGCCAUGGUGGUGAUUUGGCCGGCCGGCUUGCAGCCACGUAAAACAACUCGCUAAAGGGCCGAUCCGAAGACGAG